AUACUUUGUUGGAUGUAGUAGCUUGUGAAGUUACAAGGUGUGAUGUAAAGAAUAUACUAUAUGUAAACUGGAAGGAGAAAACAUUUUAAAAUCCAGUCUACACUUUGACGCAAGUACCAUUUGUGUUUUCUGCACAUACAUAUUGCAAGACUAGUUUAACAGGGAAUGCAUUCCCUGCAAAAUUAAUAUGGUAACACUUCCAUUAACAGGGGAGAAAAUGCAGUGCCAGUUUUCUGUUGGAAGACAAGAGAUGACACAUGGCAGUAAAUCCAAUAAUUAAUAUCUGUAUUUUGAACCUCCUGAUGUCUUCAAGUGCUCACACAGUGCUCCAUCUUAAAGCAGAAAAAUUCAUUUAUUUUUCCAAUUGGAAUAAACAGCACCUGUCAGUAUAGGCAGAAUGGGCUGCCAGAAAGUUUUCAGCUGGAGCAUUUGCCACUCUUUCCAGCAAACUUUGGUUCCAUGAUGCAGUCAAGAGGCAGUUGAAGAUGCCAGUUAGAAAGCAACUGCGGAGCUUUGUGCAUAUCUGUGUUUAUCCUAUCCGUGCAGUCCUAUCCACAAAGCCCACCAACCUGAAAACCCCACUUUUGGUGAGGGAGGAAGGAAGGAAAAGCUUCUGUGGGUUCAAGAAGUGGCACUCUUCCUGUUGGCACUGAAUCCAUGCCCUGGCACUUGAAAGGGUGUGUGAGGGGAUCCUUGUUUUAUUUGGGAUUCUGGGCAAUUUUUCUGAAUACCAAAAAGUUCUCUGUGUUUGAGACUGUUAAAACAACAUUCUGUCCAACCUUCAGCUCAAGUAGGGGCAUUUUUCUUCUCAUUCAUUUCCCUUGGUAUUUAAGACCAUAAUAUUUGUAUAUAAAUCCUUGCUUUCAAAGGACUUUUUUUUUUUUUUUUCCCCAGGGCCUGUUUUCAUGUCAUUUGUUAAAAAAUAGAACUCCAGAGAUGAUGAGCUUUCCUAUUUACUCCCAUUUUUAGUGUGUCCAUAAACCUCAAACUAUUUUCUGGUACAAGAACUAGGAGCCAUCACAUGGAGCUAGUAGGAGACAUGGUCAAGGCAAGCAAAAGGAAUUAGUUUUUUUGCACAGCAGGCAGCAGAUGUGUCACCUUGCCAAAGAAAGCUGUGGAUGCAAAAGGUUGUUAUAUGGAUUCAAGAGGAGAUUUGACUCAGAAAAUGCCAUGCCCUGAACUGAGAACACAUGAAGGCUGGAGGAGGCAAGAAAUCUCAGCUGUGGGAUUGGAUUCUGUUGCUCUCCGCACUGAAUGAAUGAACAGCCACACUAAAAGAUUUCUGCAACAGAUCCAUAAUCUGGAGGGAGAGAGACAGAAAAUAAGGACUGCAAAGAUGUAUGAGCACAGACCGUGUUUGCAUGUCCUGAUGGCUUUCUGGGAAUAUGAGAAAAAACAUCUGGAUUUAUUUCUUUUGUUAUUGUCAUGGCACAGCUCUUUUAUCAGAGACCAACAAAUGAAUGAACUGCUGAAUCUUAGCCCAUUUGUCUGUCAUCUCCUGCCUCUGAUGCAAGCAGGCAGAGAGAUAGCACAAGGACUGUGUUUCAGGCUUGAUCCAGCAAUGUGAAUUUACCCUUUGGUGUUUCCUACAGCUGUCGCAGGAGAGGUUACUUCCUAUGGGAGGGCAGUGGUGUAUUGUUGCAGAAUCUCUGCCAGCAAUUAGCGCAAAUGCCUCUCUCUGGAAUAACAAGAAACAAAAAGCUGUGGGGCCAGUAGGAUUAUGGGUCAAGAAAUCCUGCCUUUAUUAAGUGAGGCCAUUUUCCUACCUGCUGUUAAGCUGACUAAAUACAAAAGGCUAAUUUCUGGAAGGUCACCCAGUUGUAUAAUGUUACCCGAUUUUGUUUUUAUAUUUCAACACUUUUUUCUUUUUUCUUUUAUUUUUCUUUGGUUAAGGUUCAUUUGCUGCUUUCAAACAAUACCUAUAUUUCAAACACAUCAGUGAUUUGAGUAACUCACUUGGAAAAAUACCAUCUAUUAAAUGAAUCUAUUAAAUGAAUGAUUUUGCAAUUUAAUGCAUUCAAGAAAUUGAAUAACCCCUAUAUUAUUACUUGUAACAGUCUAGUCCCUUGGCAUUAAAACAAAACAGAACAAACCAGCA
Molecule: long non-coding RNA, 2098 nt
Organism: Cygnus olor (mute swan)
Lineage: Eukaryota; Metazoa; Chordata; Aves; Anseriformes; Anatidae
Exons: 2
Source: RefSeq, a predicted model, not a curated record